Molecule: ribosomal RNA, 492 nt
Filed under: uncultured bacterium
Lineage: Bacteria
Description: partial 16S ribosomal RNA
Rfam family: Bacterial small subunit ribosomal RNA
Source: RNAcentral
AGUGAACGCUGGCGGUAUGCCUAACACAUGCAAGUCGAACGGCAGCACAGUAAGAGCUUGCUCUUACGGGUGGCGAGUGGCGGACGAGUGAGGAAUACAUCGGAAUCUACUUUUUCGUGGGGGAUAACGUAGGGAAACUUACGCUAAUACCGCAUACGACCUACGGGUGAAAGCAGGGGAUCUUCGGACCUUGCGCGAUUGAAUGAGCCGAUGUCGGAUUAGCUAGUUGGCGGGGUAAAGGCCCACCAAGGCGACGAUCCGUAGCUGGUCUGAGAGGAUGAUCAGCCACACUGGAACUGAGACACGGUCCAGACUCCUACGGGAGGCAGCAGUGGGGAAUAUUGGACAAUGGGCGCAAGCCUGAUCCAGCCAUACCGCGUGGGUGAAGAAGGCCUUCGGGUUGUAAAGCCCUUUUGUUGGGAAAGAAAAGCAGCAGGUUAAUACCCCGCUGUUCUGACGGUACCCAAAGAAUAAGCACCGGCUAACUUCGUG